RNAcentral lists this ribosomal RNA (254 nucleotides) under uncultured bacterium. RNAcentral describes it as "partial 16S ribosomal RNA". It matches the Rfam family "Bacterial small subunit ribosomal RNA", at positions 524 to 776 of the family's 1533-position model. The record is from RNAcentral.
CACGUAGGCACCAAGCGUUGUCCGGAUUUAUUGGGCGUAAAGAGCUCGUAGGCGGUUCGGUAAGUCGGGUGUGAAAACUUUGGGCUCAACCCAAAGCCUGCACUCGAUACUGCUGUGACUUGAGUCCGGUAGGGGAGUGGGGAAUUCCUGGUGUAGCGGUGGAAUGCGCAGAUAUCAGGAGGAACACCGGUGGCGAAGGCGGGUCUCUGGGCCGAUACUGACGCUGAGGAGCGAAAGCGUGGGGAGCGAACAGG